This 358-nucleotide ribosomal RNA is filed under the name uncultured bacterium. RNAcentral describes it as "bacterial SSU rRNA". It matches the Rfam family "Bacterial small subunit ribosomal RNA", at positions 30 to 384 of the family's 1533-position model. The record is from RNAcentral.
AUUGAACGCUGGCGGCAUGCCUUACACAUGCAAGUCGAACGGCAGCGGACCUUCGGGUGCCGGCGAGUGGCGAACGGGUGAGUAAUAUAUCGGAACGUACCUUUCAGUGGGGGAGUAACGUAGCGAAAGUUACGCUAAUACCGCAUAUUCUGUGAGCAGGAAAGCAGGGGAGUCGCAAGACCUUGCGCUGAUUGAGCGGCCGAUAUCAGAUUAGCUAGUUGGUGAGGUAAAGGCUCACCAAGGCGACGAUCUGUAGCGGGUCUGAGAGGAUGAUCCGCCACACUGGAACUGAGACACGGUCCAGACUCCUACGGGAGGCAGCAGUGGGGAAGUUUUGGUACAAUGGGCGGCAAGACCU